RNAcentral lists this ribosomal RNA (253 nucleotides) under uncultured bacterium. RNAcentral's name for it is "partial 16S ribosomal RNA". It matches the Rfam family "Bacterial small subunit ribosomal RNA", at positions 524 to 776 of the family's 1533-position model. The record is from RNAcentral.
UACGGAGGGGGCUAGCGUUGUUCGGAAUUACUGGGCGUAAAGCGCGCGUAGGCGGCUUUGUAAGUUAGAGGUGAAAGCCCGGAGCUCAACUUCGGAAUUGCCUUUAAGACUGCAUCGCUUGAAUCAUGGAGAGGCGGGUGGAAUUCCGAGUGUAGAGGUGAAAUUCGUAGAUAUUCGGAAGAACACCAGUGGCGAAGGCGGCCCGCUGGACAUGUAUUGACGCUGAGACGCGAAAGCGUGGGGAGCGAACAGG